UUUUAGGUGGCAGAUUAAUGCACAGAUUUUAAGCGUCUGAGGUGAUUUUUAUCCCUUCUCCUU
RNAcentral lists this transfer RNA (63 nucleotides) under Galba pervia. RNAcentral's name for it is "tRNA-Leu". Lineage: Eukaryota; Metazoa; Mollusca; Gastropoda; Lymnaeidae. The record is from RNAcentral.